This 356-nucleotide ribosomal RNA is filed under the name uncultured Fusibacter sp. Its description in RNAcentral is "bacterial SSU rRNA". It matches the Rfam family "Bacterial small subunit ribosomal RNA", at positions 1027 to 1382 of the family's 1533-position model. Lineage: Bacteria; Bacillati; Bacillota; Clostridia; Eubacteriales; Fusibacteraceae. The record is from RNAcentral.
AAUUGAGACAGGUGGUGGCAUGGUUGUCGUCAGCUCGUGUCGUGAGAUGUUGGGUUAAGUCCCGCAACGAGCGCAACCUUGUGUUUAGUUGCAAACAGGUCAAGCUGUGCACUCUAGACAGACUGCCGUGGACAACACGGAGGAAGGUGGGGAUGACGUCAAAUCAUCAUGCCCCUUAUGAUCUGGGCUACACACGUGCUACAAUGGCCGGUACAACGGGCAGCGAAGGAGCGAUCCGGAGCGAAUCCUAAAAAGCCGGUCCCAGUUCGGAUUGCAGGCUGAAACUCGCCUACAUGAAGUUGGAGUUGCUAGUAAUCGCGAAUCAGAAUGUCGCGGUGAAUGCGUUCCCGGGUCUU